This 429-nucleotide ribosomal RNA is filed under the name uncultured bacterium. RNAcentral's name for it is "bacterial SSU rRNA". It matches the Rfam family "Bacterial small subunit ribosomal RNA", at positions 355 to 775 of the family's 1533-position model. The record is from RNAcentral.
UGGGGAAUCUUGCGCAAUGGACGAAAGUCUGACGCAGCGACGCCGCGUGGGCGACGAAGGCCUUCGGGUUGUAAAGCCCUGUGGGGAGGGACGAACACUGAUUGUUCAAAUAGGGCAGUCAGCUGACGGUACCUCCUUAGCAAGCACCGGCUAACUCUGUGCCAGCAGCCGCGGUAAGACAGAGGGUGCAAACGUUGCUCGGAAUUACUGGGCGUAAAGCGCGUGUAGGUGGUCACGCAAGUCAGGUGUGAAAGCCCAGGGCUCAACCCUGGAAGUGCACAUGAUACUACGUGGCUGGAGUACUGAAGAGGAGAGCGGAAUUCCCGGUGUAGAGGUGAAAUUCGUAGAUAUCGGGAGGAACACCAGUGGCGAAGGCGGCUCUCUGGGCAGAUACUGACACUGAGACGCGAAAGCGUGGGUAGCAAACAG